CCGAUCUUUGCUCUCCUCCAUAGCUGGGGUGUCUUCAACUUUCAAGCUUCAUAGUAAGUGAUUCCAAGCCCCGUUUUUAAUGAUCUUUACGUUUUUGGAGUCCCGAUAACUUGAUUAAGCUUAUUCUAGCAAUAAUUCAACCUAGGGUUCAUAUUUGGAAAAAUACCCAUAGCUGAAAUUUGUGUAUUUUGGUGUUUUAUGAUAGAAUAUGACGUUUUAAAUUAUGUUAAACAACUUAUGCUACUCGGUUUUAAGUGAAAACGAGUAAAAGGGCUUAAAUCGGAAAAAAAUACCAAUAGUCAUAAGUAUAUGUUAGAGUCUGAUUUUGAUAUUUCCAUAGAAGGGAAAAAUGAUCAGCAUGUCAUAAAACAUAAGAAAAUAGGAUGAAGUUUAAUUUACGAGCCUUGGGGCAAAAGUGCAAAUAUGUGAAAGUAACCUAAAAACAGAUUCAAGUAACAGAAAUGAUGUAACUUUGAAAAAUCACUAAAAAUUGUAGAAACAUAGUUUGAAGAUGAAUAAUAUAUGAAAUUAAAUCUUAUUAUGUCUAUUUUCUUAUGGAAUAAGCAAAAUAGGUAAAGGUUUUGUAUUUUAUAAGAUAUCUGAGUUUUAGUGAAAUAGGGCCAGAGCAAUUUCUGGAUCCCCUGUUCCAACUUUAGAAAUUCACCAUAAAUUUUACAAAAAUAAUUAGGUGAUGUAAUUCAUAUUUCUAGAAUCCUCAUUUAAUCUAGUUUUAAUAGAAACAAGCGGUACAGUCAUAUGAAUUUUGUACAGAGAUAAAAGUGGUUCGUAGUAAGUAGAGGGCAGUGCAGUCGAAUUCUGAAACAGGAGUAACUUUAACUAAUAAACUGUACUAAUUGGCUGAGUCAAAAAUUCUAGAAAAAAAUUAGUAGAUAGAUAUAUGAGUCUAGUUUCAGGAAAAAAUUACGGAUCUUAAUUUUGAGUUUUGAAACUCGAGAAAUGAAUUUUUAAGCAACCAUGAUGCAGAAAAAUAGUUUAUUCCGAAAAUUAAAAUAAGUAGUUUAGAGUUGUUUAAAAGGUAAGAUAAGUUUAGUAACACCUCAAGCUUGACUCCGGUGACGGUUUCGGGAGUGGGGGUGUUACACCACUUGUUAGGAUCGACCCGAUUAAGCAACAAUUAAAAAAAAUAGUAGAAUAAAUUGAGAAAUUGAACACACAAAUUUAACGUGAAAAAACUCUUCCAAAAAGGAUAAAAAACUAUAGGCAAAGAUAAUUUUACUAUAAUGGAAAAAGAACGAAGAGUACAAAAGAUGGAGAUAAAAAACUAAACCCCGAAAACUCGAAAACAAAGAACUCUCAAAACAUAAACACAAAAUUCUCUAAAUGUGUUAUGAGUUCUAAUCUCUAAUAGGUGUUAUUUCUAAGGUUGUAAAAGAGCCUAUUUAUAGGCUAAAUUCAUAGGUCAAAUAAUAAUAAAAUAAUCUAAACUAAUCCGUGUUUGAUUGAAACAAAUAAAUAGAGUUUAACUAGAAGAUUAUUUCUCAAAUUUGACUGAAAUAGGAGUUAUACUUAACAGUGAGUAAUUUGGUAUAGGAUGGUUAAACGACACAUCUAUGAUGCUUAACUUUUAAAAACUAUCAAAUGGUAAAGGAAGAAAUUUAAUUUUAUUUAGUUUAGAGCACUACUUAGCAUUUCAAUUGCUUAGCAUGUGGUACUUUUUUUUCCCUAACGCGGUUCAUAAAAUGAUCGUAAAUGCGGUAUUAGAUCUCUCAUUCAUCAAGUCACUCCUUAGCCUGUUGUAAUUAUUACUUUUAGUACUUUACUUUGGAUUGUUGAAAUGGCAUGUAUUAAGUGUCCCCAGUUUGGCCUUAUGCUCAUUAUAGUUUUUGGUGUGCUUUGGCUUAGAAGAGCCUAUAAUAUUAGUUGAUGUGGUUAAGUUUAACUGUUGGUUAUGGUUUAAGUUGUGAUCUAUGUUGAGAAAUGAGUAAAAUUGAUUAUAUAGUUGUGAGUUAUAAUCAAAUGAUUUAGGGUGUAUGGAGGUUAAAUAUAGGCUUUGCUUGUGUAAAAAGUAACUUAGGAGUCAAGAUUUGGGUUGCCUUAUAGCAAGAUAUUGGUACCAAUACAAUUGAAGUUAGUAUCUAAGUGAAUGUUUGAGAGAAAGCUAUUAUAUCUUAAUUCUUGUAACUUUUUAUGUGUAUAUUAGCCUUAUAAUUAAAGGCCUUAUGCUCAUUAUGGUUUUUGGUUUAGAAGAGUCUAUAAUGUUAGUUGAUGUGGUUAAGUUUAACUGUUGGUUAUGCUUUAAGUUGUGAUCUAUGUUGUGAAAUGAGCAUGGUUGAUUAUAUAGUUGUGAGUCAUAAUCAAAUGAUUUAAGGUGUAUGGAAGUUAAAUAUAGACUUUGCUUGUGUAAAAAGUAACUUAGGAGUCAAAUUUUAGGUUGCCUUAUAGCAAGAUACUGGUACCCAAGGUAAGGGUACCAAUACAAUUGAAGUUAGUAUCUAAGUGAAUGUUUGAGAGAAAUAUGGAAUCAAUAUCUAAAUCCUUGGCAUCGGUACCUAAUUGGAAGGAGUCGAUACCCUCUAAAUUAGCAGUUAAUUAAUUUUUUAGAAUAGUUCAACAUCGAUACUUGUGAGGCAUCGAUAUUUCAAGUCUCAAGUAUCAGUACCCCUCUGGCGGUAUCAAUACCUACUCCUAGUUCCUGUAACGAUGUAUAGUCUAGCGUAAUUUAGGUUUUCAUGAUGUGAAUAAAUGUUUGAAGUGGUUUUUAGUGGCUCCAAACUUACUACAAUUAUCUGGCAAAAAAAAUAUUACGGUUAACUUUGUACUUUGACUGACUAUUGAUGCCUUCGUGUAUCAGAUGUAACAUCACUUAUUGGGAAUAGGUCCUUGAUCCAGUUAAAGGGUGUUACAAUUAUUUUAUGGUAAAUUUGGUCACAUCGUACCUCAAAGUUUCAAGCUCCUUAAUCAUUUAAGAUGGCAACAAAAUACAGUUGCAACAAAAUACAAUUGUUGCAUGCAAAGUUCCCACAAGACAAGCAACAACUAGAUCUUAUAAUAAAGUAUGGUUGAGGAAAAUUCAACCUUAAGUUAGUUAUGAAGAUCAAUAAGAGAUUGAUGUUUGA
This 3077-nucleotide long non-coding RNA is filed under the name Gossypium barbadense (sea-island cotton). Its description in RNAcentral is "long non-coding RNA (GBAR_LNC008498)". Lineage: Eukaryota; Viridiplantae; Streptophyta; Magnoliopsida; Malvales; Malvaceae. The record is from RNAcentral.